Molecule: long non-coding RNA, 708 nt
Filed under: Coturnix japonica (Japanese quail)
Lineage: Eukaryota; Metazoa; Chordata; Aves; Galliformes; Phasianidae
Description: lncRNA (ENSCJPG00005014339.1)
Source: RNAcentral
AAAUCCUCCCAGCGCACCCAGAUUGCAUCUUGCAUUUAAAAUCAUUAAAAUCUGAAUUAUACAGAGGCUAUGCAGUACUAGGGAUCUUCCAGGGAAAAUGUAUUUUUGAGUACUCCAGACAAUUGAAACUAGUGAGCCCACUGUCUGGGGAAAGCAUCUGUAACCGCAGCCAAAAGAGGAACAAGAUUUCCGACGUUGUUUCAAGACAUGCGUUUGAAGCAUGGGUUCCCAUCACUUUCAGAGCAAGGGGUUAUCACAGGCCAGCUGACAGAGUGGAAAGCAGAGCAGUAAGAAUGGGAGUAAACCAAGAUUUUAUACUGAAUUUUGUACUGGUGUGGAUGAAGAGCAACCGCCAAUUCUGAUAGACUAUUGUGCAUAUCCUUGUCCACUGAAUGGCAAUUUAUGUGGCCCCGUGAUCUGUCAUCAUAUGUCCAAGCAUCUUGUGGGAAAUAAUGGAAAGAGCUUUUUAAAGGCCACAGAGAGGUGAUAGCUUGGGAAAAAAAGCUAAUUAAAGUAUGUUUUUGAAAUUGUGUUUUAAGAUCUUUCAUUAAAAAAACAAGCUUAAUAUAAAGUAAGAUAGAUCAAGAGUGUGCUAAUGUCACUGCAGAAGCAGCACUCCAGUAGCAGAUUGCAUACGUUUAAGUGAUUCACAUAUCUUGAUUUGAUUUGGCAAAUGAAAACCUUAUCUUACUCUAAGUCAUUUUUACC